Molecule: long non-coding RNA, 605 nt
Filed under: Elaeis guineensis (African oil palm)
Lineage: Eukaryota; Viridiplantae; Streptophyta; Magnoliopsida; Arecales; Arecaceae
Description: long non-coding RNA (EGUI_LNC074784)
Source: RNAcentral
ACCCAUUAACCCAUGAAUUAUGAAAUUAAUACCUUAGAUCUUUAAUUUUUAAAUUUAGAUCACUUAAUUCUCAAUUAAGUUUCGAGCUGACAGGAGUUCAGGUUUAGUGUUUGAAAAUAGUUUUUAAUGCUGUAAAAUAUUUUUACAAUCAAUCAUCUAAUGAUCAAAAUCCUAAUUUUAAAUCUAAUAUAUAUUAUUUUAGAUAUAAAAUAAAAUUUUAAAAUUUUUUUGUUAUUCAUCAUCAUUGGAAAGACCACACAGCACCCCUACAUGCCAUAGAAGAUCCCAUCGAAUGGGUAAAUAGGGUUGUGAAAUCCUAAUUUCUUUUAUGUCCGGAUGACUAUGAAGAUCUAUCCAAUCAGAUUACUAUACUACUCAAAUUUUAAAUUAAUUAUUUAAAUUUAAUUUAAAUAAUUAAAAUCAGAUUUUAUAAGGAUCAGCAUAAACUAGGACAAUCUUUGUACUGUAAGAGAUAAACCUUACAGGAGGACAACCUUAUAUCAGUUUGUACGAUCAAAUGUAUAACUAAUUUUAAGUCUAAAUAUUAUAUAUCAAAUCUAAUCUAAAUUAAAUUAUAAAUCUAAAUGCAAAUAAUAUCAUGCCAU